RNAcentral lists this ribosomal RNA (497 nucleotides) under uncultured bacterium. Its description in RNAcentral is "partial 16S ribosomal RNA". It matches the Rfam family "Bacterial small subunit ribosomal RNA", at positions 28 to 507 of the family's 1533-position model. The record is from RNAcentral.
GAUGAACGCUGGCGGCGUGCCUAAUACAUGCAAGUCGAGCGAACAGACGAGGAGCUUGCUCCUCUGACGUUAGCGGCGCACGGGUGAGUAACACGUGGAUAACCUCCUUAUAAGACGGGGAUAAUUUCGGGAAACCGGCGCUAAUACCGGAGAAUAUAUUGAACCGCAUGGUUGAUUGGUGAAAGACGGCGUUGCUGUAACUUCUAGAGGGAUCUGCGCCGCAUUAGCUAGUUGUUGAGGUAACGGCUUAUCAGGGCAACGAUGCGUAGACGACCGGAGAGGGGGGUCGCCGGCCUGAGAGGUGGACCGCGGUCCAUGGUCCUGCGGGAGGCAGCAGUAGGGAACCUUCGGCAGUAGGGGAGAGCUUGACGGAACGGCGGGACGUGAGUGAUAACAGCGUUCGGAUCGUAAUGCUCUGUUACGAGGUGUAAACAACUGUGUAAGGAACUAUACACGGCGUGACGGUACCGGGUAAGGAAGCAACGGCUAACUACGUG